RNAcentral lists this long non-coding RNA (1116 nucleotides) under Sus scrofa (pig). Its description in RNAcentral is "lncRNA (ENSSSCG00040049323.1)". The record is from RNAcentral. Lineage: Eukaryota; Metazoa; Chordata; Mammalia; Artiodactyla; Suidae.
GAAAUCCACCAUUCGGUGACGGUCUAGCCUGUACUCAGCGGAGCCCCACACUCCAUCCCACAGGUACUUGGGCCCCUCAGGGAAAUACACCUGUUUCAGACCAGCAGCCCGUGGGGACAGGUUCACCUGUGUUCCUCACACCACCACUUCAGUCCUAAGGAGCCUCCCUGGGGGAGCUUGAGGGACUCUUUCUGGAGCCAUGAGGGGGGUCCACCAGAGGAGGGUCCCCUGGGUGUUUCUGAGCUGCUUAUGUUCCUGCCUCCUUUGGCCAGAGGUCCUGGGUGGAAACACUAUGACAACUACUAUUACUGAGGAGAAAUUCCCAUCGAAUAUCAGCUACAUAACUCCCACAAAAGGAAACCUGUCAAAAGAAGUAACAUCAACAAACAAAACACAAAGAAAAAAAAGGGAAACUUCAAAUUCUGGUACUUACAUAUCAACUAUGGUUAGUNGUCGGAUUCGUUAAGCACUGCGCCACGAUGGGAACUCCAAAAUACUGUUUUUUUUGUUUGGUUUGUUUAUUUGUUUUUGUUUUUGUUUUUUUCCUUUUCUAGGGCCGCUCCCUCGGCAUAUGGAGUUUCCCAGGUUAGAAGUCAAAUUGGAGCUGCAGCUGCCGGCCUACGCCAGAGCCACAGCAACAUGGGAUCUGAGCCACAUCUACGACCUACACCACAGCUCACGGCAACGCCGGAUCCUUAACCCACUGAGCGAGGCCAGGGAUCGAACCCACAACCUCAUGGUUCCUAGUCAGGUUCAUUAACCACUGUGCCACAGUGGGAACUCCAAAAUUGUGUUCUUAAUGCUCCAACUUCACAGAAGGAACCUGUCUUGUCAACGAGUCCUUGUAUCUUAUAUUUAACGGCACUAUUGAAACAUAUGCAUCAUCAUAUCUUUAAUCCUCUACAGGUGGAAACACUAUGACAACUACUAUUACUGAGGAGAAAUACCCAUCGAAUAUCAGCUACAUAACUCCCACAAAAGAAAACCUCUCAAAAGAAGUAACAUCAACAAACAAAACUGAAAGAAAAAAGAGGGAAACUUCAAAUUCUGGUACUUACAAAUCAACUAUGGUGAGUUCAUCAGUCUCAACGACAACAGGACCAGGGCCCCAGUCAA